RNAcentral lists this unclassified non-coding RNA (391 nucleotides) under Hevea brasiliensis (rubber tree). Lineage: Eukaryota; Viridiplantae; Streptophyta; Magnoliopsida; Malpighiales; Euphorbiaceae. The record is from RNAcentral.
AAAGAAAAGACAGUUGUAUGAUUGGCCUACCCUCUCUGUAUGGGAAGAUGCUAUGAUGGAUGUUUACCUGGUCUCUUAAAUUGAUUCUUAGUCUGAAGUUAGUCACAACAAAAAUGCAUUGAAUUGAAUAUGUAUUUGCACUAUUAUGCCCUACCAAUUUCAUUAUUUCAUUGUUUAAACUGUCCGUGUAGGUUGUUAAAACUUGAUUUGGAUUGGGUUGUCCUUGUCUUGAGCAUAUCGAAAGAAUAAACUUUAAAUUAGAGUUUUCUCCUGCUCCAUGAGUUGUAUUGCAUGUAUCAUUUGGUUGACUACAUGUUAAUUGCUGAAAUCAUCUUUGAAGGAUGUUAAACAACAUGUUUUUGUUCCAGGAUUGCCAAGUACCAGGAAGCAA